Molecule: small RNA, 30 nt
Filed under: Bombyx mori (domestic silkworm)
Lineage: Eukaryota; Metazoa; Arthropoda; Insecta; Lepidoptera; Bombycidae
Description: ovarian small RNA-30946
Source: RNAcentral
UGAAGGAGAGGCACUCCCAUUAGGGAGACU